This 72-nucleotide transfer RNA is filed under the name Candidatus Kerfeldbacteria bacterium CG08_land_8_20_14_0_20_42_7. RNAcentral's name for it is "tRNA-Asn". It matches the Rfam family "tRNA". From Rfam's summary of the family: Transfer RNA (tRNA) molecules are approximately 80 nucleotides in length. The record is from RNAcentral. Lineage: Bacteria; Candidatus Kerfeldiibacteriota.
UCCGAGGUAGCUCAAUGGUAGAGCAGCGGCCUGUUAAGCCGUUGGUUGCGAGUUCGAAUCUCGCCCUCGGAG